Non-coding RNA from Hydra vulgaris (swiftwater hydra), 712 nucleotides. NCBI's taxonomy places the organism in Eukaryota, Metazoa, Cnidaria, Hydrozoa, Anthoathecata, Hydridae. The record is from RefSeq and is a predicted model, not a curated record.
UCUUUUAUAUUUUUUUUUAUUGAAAGCGCUUAUAGGAAAAAAGUACUAUUAUUUUAAAGUUAGUGCAUUUUUAAACUUUUGCGGAAAUACUUUUUUUUUGAUUAACACAAAAACAAAUGUGACGUCAAGCUUGCUUUUAAAUUGAGUGAAACAGCCGUGCUUAAACAUUAACGAGAAUUGUUUUGUGUCAGUGCCAGAAAUUGAAUGCACACCAGCAAAUUUCAUAAUUCAUAAAAAUAUUAUGAAUCCAUUAGCAAAUAAAGUUGUAUCCUUGAAAGAUAUGCUGGUAUUAUUGGCAAAAUGGGCAAGCAUUGAAGUGCAACUUGGUGAACUACAAAACACAUUAAAUUCAGUUAUAAAAAUUUGAGUAACAAAGAUCAAUUAUUUGGCACAAAUUGGAGUUAAAGACGAAGGAGAUUGUAUAUGUUAUUUACUAAGAAUAGUUUUUUAAAAUGGCCUAGCUGUAAAAUUAAACUAUGCAGGGAGAGGACAAAAAUUGGAAUAGGAAAAAUGUUGAUUGCAUAUGUUGCUAUUGAAACUGUGAAGUCAAAUAGACAUGGCUUAUACAGACAUGUGAUAGAGAUAGUGGAAGAAAAAAUAGAAAUCGUGGGCACCAAAUAUCAUAAGCUAAACACGAUUUAAUAAAAGUAGCUCAGCCAAUAUCGAAACUACUCUAUAAAUUUUAUAGUGAAUUUUUUUAUUUAAAACUCAA